This 402-nucleotide ribosomal RNA is filed under the name uncultured prokaryote. RNAcentral describes it as "bacterial SSU rRNA". It matches the Rfam family "Bacterial small subunit ribosomal RNA", at positions 355 to 774 of the family's 1533-position model. The record is from RNAcentral.
UGGGGAAUAUUGGACAAUGGGGGAAACCCUGAUCCAGCCAUGCCGCGUGAGUGAUGAAGGCCUUCGGGUUGUAAAGCUCUUUUGGUAGGGACGAUGAUGACGGUACCUACAGAAUAAGCUCCGGCUAACUUCGUGCCAGCAGCCGCGGUAAUACGAAGGGAGCUAGCGUUGUUCGGAAUUACUGGGCGUAAGGGGCGCGUAGGCGGUCCGAUAAGUCAGAUGUGAAAGCCCUGGGCUUAACCCGGGACCUGCGUUUGAUACUAUCGGUCUUGAAUUCGGGAGAGGUGAGUGGAAUUCCCAGUGUAGAGGUGAAAUGCGUAGAGAUUGGGAAGAACACCCGUGGCGAAGGCGGCUCACUGGACCGACAUUGACGCUGAGGCGCGAAAGCGUGGGGAGCAAACA